Molecule: long non-coding RNA, 3789 nt
Filed under: Cairina moschata (Muscovy duck)
Lineage: Eukaryota; Metazoa; Chordata; Aves; Anseriformes; Anatidae
Description: domestica (muscovy Duck (domestic type)) lncRNA (ENSCMMG00000012951.1)
Source: RNAcentral
AUGAUGAACGUGUAUAUUUUUAGCCCUCGGGGAUGCAGCAGCAGCCCAGAGCCCAGCCUCGCUGCCCUGUCAGGGAGGCAGCAGCCUUGUUCUCACGCCCUGCCAAACAAUGGGAGCGCUCAGCCAGGAUGGCUCCUUGCUAUGCCCCGCUGUGCUAUUUUCUCACGGUUCAUUGAGGCCGAAGAUGCUUUAGGCAGCAGAUUUGGAGAACGGGGAAGCGGGAACGCGGGAGAGAGAAGCUCUGCAAAAUUUCUCCGCAUUCGAGCCCCCGAGCUGGGUCCCUGCCGACAUCUGUUCCUGGAAGCUGGUGCCGCUCGGGAGGCGCGCGUGCAGCGGGGCGAUGCUGCGGGAUUGCUAGGCAACCCCACGCUGCCAGCAGCAAGGGGCCGGGGAGCAGCACGCAGCCGGGGCUCGCACCCGCUCCCCAGCAGGGAAAAGCGGGCAGGGGGAGCGGAGCCCACCGAGGAGCCUCACUGGGGGCCAGGAGCAGUGCCGGGGCCUGGCCGGGGAGAGGAGGAGGAGGAGGAGGAGGAGUGGCGAGGGGACGGGAACGGAGAAUGCGCGAGAGCAGCAGCUGAGGGAAGAGAAGCAGUUAGGAAAACACGAGUCAACAAAACCCUGCCUUUUGGCAAGAACCCAAACAAGGAGAGUGCCAAACAGCCAGUUCCAGAUCUGCAGAAAUCAUCUCUGCGAUGCAACAGAUGGUGCUUGGCCCGAGGAGAGCAGAGCAGAGCAGAGCAGAAGGCUGCAGCAGCCCCCCCCCGGGUCACCCUCAGAGGCUCCUGGGACCCUCGACCCGCAGGUGCCCAGACCAGGCUCACCCCCCCCUCUAAAGCUUUGCUCGCUCUCCCAGCCCUUUGCUCACCUGGUGCCCAAUACCCAAGGAGGCACUGCCUGCGCAGGUGAUGCUCAGCGCUCGUUUGGCUCUGAGGUGGCACAGCUGAGCCCAUCCCUGCACAGGGGUGAGCUCACCGAGCCCUGCCUCGGAUCAAAGGCCCGGAGGCACCUCGCUUCAGGAGCCUCCCCAGAGGUCUGGGGAAGAAUACUGGGUGCCUGCACAGCCACGGCAUGGACGGGGCAAUGACAAGGCAGAGCUCAGAUUUUUUUUUGGCAUGUGUCAGAAGCCCUGACCCAAAAAACCCGAAGCAGAACGUGUAACACCCGAUCAGAAAGUGAACGCGCGCCUGGUCAUGGACAAGCUCAGCCUACAAAGCAUUCUCCAGCACCGGAGAGUCGAGAGCCAUGAUAAUGUGCUCUGAAAUAAUGCUUUUUUAAAUACAAUUUAUGAUAGAUUUCAUAGCUAAGUUAUGCAACAUAAUGAGCAAAUCUAAAAUGUAAUUGUCACUGCGCAUUAACAGCAAAAUCCUGAACCUCUAUUAUACUAACAAACUUAUUAAAUCAGUGAACAUUGCAUUGCAUCAGUCAAUUACUAAACCGAUGCUCAGAUCACUGGAACAAUCUGAUAUCCAUUAGACAGGCAGAAGGAGGGGAGCACAUCACUGGAGCUGCCCACGGGGUGACAUGUUUUAAAACAUUCAAUGUAUUUACGCUUUUGAUGCAGUGCUGCUCCUGCGGGAUGUUUUGCUGCCACUUCCCCUGUUCCCAACGCAUCCCUAGAGUGCCGCUGUGCUGCGCAUGCACUCGAUGGGAAAAGGGCUGGGAUCCAGCCUCACAACGCUGCCUUCUCCGAGGAGCCUGAAGUUUGCCAGGGAGCCUGCAGGCCUGGGCCCCCUGGGGCAGGCACAGAUCUGAGAUCAUCCCUGGCUCCACAGCGGGCUGGCGGACACCCGCCAGGGCCACACGUUUUCAGCAAAGGGCAUUUGCUGCAACAGCAGGACACAGCACGUGAAGGCUGGCACAGACUCGGCCGUGUGCCCCCCGGUGCUCAGUGCCCAUCCGCUGCUGAAACCCCGUCCCCAGCAGCGCUCCCUCCUCGCGAGGUUGGUAAGCACGGGGUAAGCCGAUCCUGGAAAGGCAUCCACGCAAACAUCUAAAGUAAAGUGUGCUUUGCACCUUGGUGUAGUGAUUUGACACAGCACUAAUUAUGCAAAUUAAUCAUCGGUAAAUCAGGUACGUGUUUACUUAUUUAUUUUGCGUUUUGCACAGCAACCAGGCAGGAGGAGUGUUGUGAAAGAAAAGCUGCUCUAUUUAUUCUGAUAAGAAAUGUUUGGUAACAUGUUGCAUGAUCCAACCUCCCCACGUUCUUUUUCAGAUUAAAUUCUAAAUUGAUUUGCUGGUAUCAUACCGUUCAUAGCUCUCAAUAUGUCAUCGCGGCUAAUGAACCAUGCCAGGGACACAUUUAUAACCCUCUAUUAGCCUCUUCCAUCAGGAAGGGAUUUUUUUUCCCCCCUCCUUGCUCUGAGGUUCUGAAAGUUACAAAACAAAAUAAAUCAAAAACCGACCAAACAAACCACCGGAACCAGAAGCAGCAGCAGACGUUACUGGAACUCAGACACUCCUGUGGCUGCCUCCGCUCCCACCUCGGGAUGUGGCUUUGAUGCGAGCUGCAAAGCAGCCCGGGAUAAGUCACCCAAACCCCACCGAUUCCCUACGCCCAGCCGAGCAGAGCUCGGGCUGCUUUCUGAGCACCGUUUACAAACUUCCUCAAGCAGCAGCCUCAGUGCACAGAAGGCAGAGAAGGAAGGCAGCUGCUGAGACCUUCCUGGGGCAAGUCCCUGCAGCUGGGACUGGGGACCCUGCUCUGGAGGUGCCCCCAGUGCAGCACCACCGAGGUGGCCGUGCCGUGCAGAGCCCGCUCUGUGCCCCCACGCCUGCCGCAGCAGCUCCAUGCACAGCCUGCACCUCCCAAGCUGGGUCUGCUCCUCGGCACCAGGCAGGGCAGCCCCACGGACCCACCAGCGUUUUGUCACCUCAAAGCAAACACUUCUGCGCUUGGUUUCUCUGCCUGCGUGCUUUCCCAAGUGAGGGUUGGGACAAAAUUCCCGCUUUUUGGAUGCAGCUCAUCUCCAGUGGUGAAUGGCCGAGGCUGGGAGAUGGUGGUGGGAAGAGAAAUGCAGUAGUGAUAGAGGGGCUGCCCUCACCUUGUGGUGAUUGCUGCAUGUGCUGCAGGAAGACAGCGUUUAAACCAUGAGUCGAGUCCCCCUUCAUUCCAAAUGUAGUGCUUCAGGAACGGAGAGACAACUCUAUCGGGGGAACAAGAGCUAAUUAAAUUUACUGGGAUCAUUGAAGAGGAAAUUAUUUAAUAUUCUGCAUGGAAUUUAAUAUCGGAAAGCAUGAAGGGCCUUGUUCCAUCAGAGAUCGGUUCCUUCCCACACCCCAGUUCACACUGCACACCCAGCCCUGCCGCAGGCCAGGGGCAGCACAGCGGUGCCGGGUGGCCAUGAGAACCUGGGCUGGGGAGCAGCACCCAUGGGCUGCUGCUGCAAGAGCACCCUCUGUGCUCCCAGGGCAUCCUCUGUGCUCCCGACUGCUGCCACACUGGGCACCCAUGGGGUACAGGGCUGCCUUGUCUCAGGUGAGCACCCACAUCCACACGGGGCCAUCAGCACUGACCUUAAACACCGUCAUCCAGCCCCGUUCUGACAGCCAAAACGUUGUGGCAGCUUAACCCACCCCCACACACAAAUUUUGCUGCUCAGCCCAAGUUGCAGCCUGGGCAGGGUGCUCCAGGUUCUGGGAUCAGGAGGACAGGGAGUGAACGCUCUCCCUGGCCGUGCACCUCUGCGCUGCCGGCUCCCCGCAGCAGCCUCCCCCCGUUUGCACUGCAGCAGGAUCCGACUGUUCCCAUUCCAUGCACUUCGUGCCUGCAGCUCUCCAGCUUGCCCCGGC